GAUGUCAGUGUUUCCUUCUGAUUUGCUUAACAGUUUGCCACAUAAUUGAAGUAAGGAAGUAAUGAGAUAGAAGUCAUAUAGUCUAGCAGUAUUUCUCACUCUUCAGUCCUCUCUUCAUGACAGUAGACUUGUUUCACUCAGUGGAGCCCCAGUUAGUGAAAGAUAUGAUACCUGCAGUAAUAUUGAUGAUCCUGUUCUGGAGCACAGAUCUCCAGGCUCAAAGCGUCAGUCCACCAGCUGAACUCUCAGUCAGACUGGUGAAUGGGACCACUUCCUGUUCUGGGACAGUGGAAGCCUUCUACAGAGGAGAGUGGUCAGGUCUAUGUACUGGGUGGUGGAGCAUGAGAGAGGUUAAGGUUGUGUGUAGAGAGCUGGACUGUGGGAAUCCUGUAGCUGAAUCUAGAGGACCUCUGUUUGAAGAUGGAAGAAGAGGAGUCACACUAUAUAGUAGUUGCUAUGGAGAUGAGUCUUCUAUUAGACAGUGUGAUGUCAUAGGAGGACCUGGUGUCUGUGAUGGUGGAUAUUAUCAUCAUGUGACCUGUUCAGGUAAGAGACUGGUCAUAUUGAGAGAUUUAUUUAUACAAUAUUACCAUGUAUCAUGUUUUAUGUGUUUUUAUUUCAUUUAAAUAGAGGGAGAGAUGUCAGAUGUAUUUAAACAUUAUAUUUGUGUUUGUCAUAUUGGUUUAUGGGAGAUGUUCAUGGGCAGAUCAUUGUAGUUCAGAU
Molecule: non-coding RNA, 723 nt
Organism: Oncorhynchus mykiss (rainbow trout)
Lineage: Eukaryota; Metazoa; Chordata; Actinopteri; Salmoniformes; Salmonidae
Source: RefSeq, a predicted model, not a curated record